This 516-nucleotide ribosomal RNA is filed under the name uncultured bacterium. RNAcentral describes it as "bacterial SSU rRNA". It matches the Rfam family "Bacterial small subunit ribosomal RNA", at positions 9 to 518 of the family's 1533-position model. The record is from RNAcentral.
GAGUUUGAUUAUGGCUCAGGAUGAACGCUGGCGGCGUGCCUAACACGAUGCAAGUCGAACGGGGUUAAGUGAAAUUUCGGAUGGAGCUUAACUAGUGGCGGACGGGUGAGUAACGCGUGGAUAACCUGCCUCACACUGGGGGAUAGCAGCUGGAAACGGCUGGUAAUACCGCAUAAGACCACAGGCACCGCAUGGUGCAGGGGUAAAAGAUUUAUCGGUGUGAGAUGGAUCCGCGUCUGAUUAGCCAGUUGGCGGGUAACGCCCACCAAAGCGACGAUCAGUAGCCGGCCUGAGAGGGUGAACGGCCACAUUGGGACUGAGACACGGCCCAAACUCCUACGGGAGGCAGCAGUGGGGAAUAUUGCACAAUGGGCGCAAGCCUGAUGCAGCAACGCCGCCGUGAGUGAAGAAGUAUUUCGGUAAUGUAAAGCUCUAUCGGCAGGGAAGAAAGGCCCUUAACAGGGAGAUGACGGUACCUGACUAAGAAGCCCCGGCUAACUACGUGCCAGCCGCUGC